UACAGAGGUCGCAAGCGUUAAUCGGAUUUACUGGGCGUAAAGGGUGCGUAGGCGGUUUGAUAAGUCUGAUGUGAAAUCCCCGGGCUCAACCUGGGAACGGCAUUGGAGACUGUCAAGCUAGAGUGCGUCAGAGGGGGGUAGAAUUCCACGUGUAGCAGUGAAAUGCGUAGAGAUGUGGAGGAAUACCGAUGGCGAAGGCAGCCCCCUGGGAUGACACUGACGCUGAAGCACGAAAGCGUGGGGAGCAAACAGG
This 253-nucleotide ribosomal RNA is filed under the name uncultured bacterium. RNAcentral's name for it is "partial 16S ribosomal RNA". It matches the Rfam family "Bacterial small subunit ribosomal RNA", at positions 524 to 776 of the family's 1533-position model. The record is from RNAcentral.